AGGAUUCAGGGGUGUGGCCUCCCAUUGUGCAAGGUGGGUUCAUAAGAGGGUGCUUCUGAGAGCUCUGGACCAGACCACUAUGAAUCAAGGAACAUCAUCAGGAUGGUGAAAGCGACUAAGAAGACGCACAAUCUGACACAGGAUGUUGAGCCAUCAACCUCGACAUCCAAACCCAAGACAGUGAAGGCUUGCCAUCGUAAAUCCUGUUCCAAAUGUAGCAAGAAGAUAAGAAGGCCCACGGUGCAAAAGCCUAAGAAGAAGAGCAAGAAAACACUGCCAAACAUGCCUAAAAGAAAGACUUCUAAGAAAACUACACCACCAAAAAGGACUAAUAAAGGCAAGGGGAAAGAACUAUUUGGUCACUACCACCGUUUGUUGAAAGAGCUGUCAACAGGUAGUGGGAAGGAGCCCGAACAUAGCAGCACUGAGAGCUCCAGGAGUUCAACAAUGGAUUAAGAAUGCCAGUAGACUCAGCAUGCUAACCAAAGACCUGGGGAUCUGUGAAAAGGAUUGGCAGCUGAGCAAUGCUAAACUGUGUAGUCUGAAAAUGUAAGUGCUACACAGUGCUUUGACUCUGGUGAAAAUAAAGUCAAUCUGAUAUG
Molecule: long non-coding RNA, 602 nt
Organism: Mus musculus (house mouse)
Lineage: Eukaryota; Metazoa; Chordata; Mammalia; Rodentia; Muridae
Product: RIKEN cDNA 1700019M22 gene
Exons: 1
Source: RefSeq, marked validated